AUUUGACUCAACACGGGAAAUCUUACCGGGUCCGGACGUAUCGAGGAUUGACAGAUAGUUAUACAUGCCCUACAAGCAAGUAGGAGUCAGGUUUUAAACCUAAUGGCUCUUUCAUGAUUAUAUGAUAGGUGGUGCAUGGCCGUUCUUAGUUCGUGGAGUGAUCUGUCUGCUUAAUUGCGUUUCAAAUUUUUAACCGAGGACCGGGUUUUGGUUUGGCUAGUGGUCCUACGAUGACUGUGAACUGUCAUGUCUUCGGAUGUACGACUAUCGGUCUAGGAUCACAUGACUUGCCCCUGGGACUCUUUUGAACGCAACGGACGUGAUUGCAACCCCUUGUUGAGAUUAGAGAUAGUCUCGAUAUUCACUGGCCAAACUGGCUGCUUUAUGCAGUCUUGUUGAAUGGUGGAUAAACUCGGGGGACUGCUGACUAUAACCAUUUCUCAAAACAGAGGAAGGUUGCGGCAAUAACAGG
RNAcentral lists this ribosomal RNA (472 nucleotides) under Globigerinoides ruber albus. Its description in RNAcentral is "SSU rRNA". It matches the Rfam family "Eukaryotic small subunit ribosomal RNA", at positions 1193 to 1460 of the family's 1831-position model. The record is from RNAcentral. Lineage: Eukaryota; Foraminifera; Rotaliida; Globigerinidae.